CCUACGGGUGGCUGCAGUGGGGAAUAUUGGACAAUGGGCGAAAGCCUGAUCCAGCCAUGCCGCGUGUGUGAAGAAGGCCUUCGGGUUGUAAAGCACUUUCAGUGGGGAAGAAAGCCUUGGGGCUAAUACCCUCGAGGAAGGACAUCACCCACAGAAGAAGCACCGGCUAACUCCGUGCCAGCAGCCGCGGUAAUACGGAGGGUGCGAGCGUUAAUCGGAAUUACUGGGCGUAAAGCGCGCGUAGGCGGUCUGAUAAGCCGGUUGUGAAAGCCCCGGGCUCAACCUGGGAACGGCAUCCGGAACUGUCAGGCUAGAGUGCAGGAGAGGAAGGUAGAAUUCCCGGUGUAGCGGUGAAAUGCAUAGAGAUCGGGAGGAAUACCAGUGGCGAAGGCGGCCUUCUGGACUGACACUGACGCUGAGGUGCGAAAGCGUGGGUAGCAAACAGGAUUAGAUACCCUUGUAGUC
RNAcentral lists this ribosomal RNA (465 nucleotides) under Vreelandella stevensii. RNAcentral describes it as "partial 16S ribosomal RNA". It matches the Rfam family "Bacterial small subunit ribosomal RNA", at positions 338 to 795 of the family's 1533-position model. The record is from RNAcentral. Lineage: Bacteria; Pseudomonadati; Pseudomonadota; Gammaproteobacteria; Oceanospirillales; Halomonadaceae.